Molecule: ribosomal RNA, 253 nt
Filed under: uncultured bacterium
Lineage: Bacteria
Description: partial 16S ribosomal RNA
Rfam family: Bacterial small subunit ribosomal RNA
Source: RNAcentral
UACGGAGAGUGCAAGCGUUAUUCGGAUUUAUUGGGCGUAAAGGGCGUGUAGGCGGCUUGAAAGGUCAAAGGUGAAAUCCCCGGGCUCAACCUGGGAACUGCCUUUGAAACCGUCUGGCUUGAGUUCGGGAGAGGGUAGUGGAAUUCCUAGUGUAGCGGUGAAAUGCGUAGAUAUUAGGAGGAACACCAGUGGCGAAGGCGACUACCUGGACCGAUACUGACGCUGAAGCGCGAAAGCAUGGGGAGCAAACAGG